This 1645-nucleotide long non-coding RNA is filed under the name Heterocephalus glaber (naked mole-rat). Its description in RNAcentral is "lncRNA (ENSHGLG00000038787.1)". Lineage: Eukaryota; Metazoa; Chordata; Mammalia; Rodentia; Bathyergidae. The record is from RNAcentral.
CUAAUUACAUUCGCCAGAUCCCAAGAUUCUACUUCUUGAGCUGGUUAGGGAUCCGUGCACCCUGCUGGGCUUUCUUAACAUCCUACUAGUAUGCACUAGGUUCCAAGAAUUAGCUACACUCUAUUACUUAGUGCUGAUUUUUUUUUUCACGCUCAGAAAACCGCAAAGGGAUUUAACCAAAAGGAAGCAAAGGUUUUCUUUUCAUAAAUUCGAUUAGUCUUUUCUACUUUCUCUGCCUCGGGACAUUUCCUUUGGGAAGAAUUUUUAUACCCAAAGACCCCUUAGCGAGGCACUGUUGCAUGCGGGCGCAGUGAAUUUAACUGCAAGACGCUCGAUGUGGACGGAAAGUAAAAAUCGCAGGCACUUGCAAGCCGCUAGCCAAGUCCGUUUCGGAAUGCCAUGUCGUUAUAGGAAUGGGCCCAUAAAGGAAGAAAGACGAAGUUUGCCGCAGGCAGGCAAGGUUGAAUCCUUGACUGGAGUGCGAGAGUGGGUGCUUUCCCAGCCAGCCCUCCGCUAACGACCGCUGAAUGUCCCGCCCGAGCCGGCGCCGAGAGCCUGGUGCCCACACAGCGCCCGGCGCCCGUCUGGAGAUAGCCCUCAGCGGUGGGCAGCAGGAGGCUCCCCAAAACUGCGCCUUUUAGCAGCCAGUACUUAGCGGAUGGAGAGACAGCGCCAAGAGCCCACAAAGUAGACUCGGCCAGGGGCGGGGACCCCCACCGGAGCCUGCUCCCUCAGGCCUCAGGCUAGGGAACCCAAUCCGGGCAGACCGAACUGGAAAGAGGGGCUGGGGCCCAGGCAAGGCCUCAUUCCAGACCCGGGGUCAGAUUGGGCCUGAAUCAGUGAAUGCUGCGGGUGGAGGCGCCAGGCCCUAGAAUGGGCCUCCAAACCUCCGCUUUCCAGGAAUGGCGAUUGGACCGAGAAGCCAGCCGCAAAACCCAUGGCUGGGAACGCGAUUGUGGCCCCGAGGCCUUGGGUCCCAGCGCUCCAGUCCCGCCAACCCAGCGAGGACUCUAGACCUUGGAGAACCCGAGGGUUCAUUGAACUCCCAACUGAACUGCCCAGCGCCUCCCCCGGUGUGAUUCCUCUAGGUUCGCAAGGUCGCGACCCUGGAGCAGCUGCUGCCUGGCUUCGGGCCACCCCCAUUCCCCAUCCCAGCACGCCGAGCCUCGCCAGCUCCCUGACACCCGGGCGGCCGCAACAGCGAACCACGGAACGUGGGCCCAAGACAAUGGCCCGUAAUUGAUGUAUUGCCACCAACAAGGAAGACCAACUCUCCUCUCCCCGCCAUUCCAACCGCCCCCUUCCUCCCAUCCCCCUCUCCUCCAUCUCCCCUCUCCCCUCACCCGGCCACAGAGGGAAAGAAAACAAACAAGAAAUUAGUGGGGGAUGCCGCGCGCAGAGCGAGGCGCCUGCCUCUACACCGUCGAGGACGCAGAAGAACGAAAAAAGUUAUCAAAGUUUGGAUUCCCCCCCAAUUAAUUCGUCUCUGCUCGCCCAUUUUUAGGCGAACAGCGCGAUGCAGAUUUUGGGUGUUCUUUUCGUUCGCUUGUUUGUUGUGGUGUUUGGGGGAGGGAAAAGCACCCCCUCCUCUUCAUCUUAAUCACACACAGGGCAAGGAGUGAACACGUGUGAAGCUACUCCCGGG